Molecule: non-coding RNA, 97 nt
Filed under: Fibrocapsa japonica
Lineage: Eukaryota; Raphidophyceae; Chattonellales; Chattonellaceae
Source: RNAcentral
AACAACGAAGAAGGGGGCAAGGGGACGAGAGGGCACUUACCUUCAGUCUUCUUGUCCUUCUUUCUUCUUCUUCUUCAGUUUUCUUUUAUUUUUCUUC